This 509-nucleotide ribosomal RNA is filed under the name uncultured bacterium. RNAcentral's name for it is "partial 16S ribosomal RNA". The record is from RNAcentral.
GGAGUUAGCCGGUGCUUCUUCUGUGAGUGAUGUCCUUCCUGCCGGCUAUUAACCCGCAGGCCUUCUUCCUCACUGAAAGUGCUUUACAACCCGAAGGCCUUCUUCACACACGCGGCAUGGCUGGAUCAGGGUUGCCCCCAUUGUCCAAUAUUCCCCACUGCUGCCUCCCGUAGGAGUCUGGGCCGUGUCUCAGUCCCAGUGUGGCUGAUCAUCCUCUCAGACCAGCUACGGAUCGUCGCCUUGGUGAGCCGUUACCUCACCAACCAGCUAAUCCGACAUAGGCUCAUCCGAUAGCGCGAGGCCCGAAGGUCCCCCGCUUUCCCCCGUAGGGCGUAUGCGGUAUUAGCCUGGGUUUCCCCAGGGUUAUCCCCCACUACCGGGCAGAUUCCUAUGCAUUACUCACCCGUCCGCCGCUCGCCACCAGGGAGCAAGCUCCCCGUGCUGCCGCUCGACUUGCAUGUGUAGCUGCCGCAGCGUCAUCUGAGACACGAACUACCGAACCCGUACGA